UGGCUCAGUCAGUGGAGCGUGGGACUCUUGAUCUCAAGGUUGUGAGUUCAAGUCCCAC
This 58-nucleotide transfer RNA is filed under the name Canis lupus familiaris (dog). It matches the Rfam family "tRNA", at positions 8 to 63 of the family's 71-position model. Rfam says of the family: Transfer RNA (tRNA) molecules are approximately 80 nucleotides in length. Their secondary structure includes four short double-helical elements and three loops (D, anti-codon, and T loops). Lineage: Eukaryota; Metazoa; Chordata; Mammalia; Carnivora; Canidae. The record is from Rfam by way of RNAcentral. RNAcentral also lists the same sequence under 2 other names.